UUGAUCAUGGCUCAGAAUGAACGCUGGCGGCGUGCUUUACACAUGCAAGUCGAGCGAGGCGGGUAGCAAUACCCAGUCGAGCGGCGAACGGGUGAGUAACGCGUGGAUUAUCUACCCUGAGGUGGGGGAUAACCCGGCGAAAGCCGGGCUAAUACCGCAUAACAUCGAAAGAUCAAAGGGGGAGCAAUCUCCCGCCAUUGGAGGAGUCCGCGUCCGAUUAGCUAGUUGGUAGGGUAAUGGCCUACCAAGGCGACGAUCGGUAGCCGGCCUGAGAGGGUGAUCGGCCACACUGGAACUGAGACACGGUCCAGACUCCUACGGGAGGCAGCAGUGGGGAAUUUUGCGCAAUGGGCGAAAGCCUGACGCAGCAACGCCGCGUGGAGGAUGACGGUCCUUGGAUCGUAAACUCCUGUCAGCAGGGAAAAAGGGGACCGGGCUCAUACCCCGGUUCAUUGAUUGUACCUGCAGAGGAAGCCCCGGCUAACUCUGUGCCAGCAGCCGCGGUAAUACAGAGGGGGCAAUGCGUUAUUCGGAAUCAUUGGGCGUAAAGGGCGCAGUAGGCG
RNAcentral lists this ribosomal RNA (563 nucleotides) under uncultured bacterium. RNAcentral describes it as "bacterial SSU rRNA". It matches the Rfam family "Bacterial small subunit ribosomal RNA", at positions 13 to 577 of the family's 1533-position model. The record is from RNAcentral.